UGGAGUAUACUCAUAGACUACAGCUUCGCAUGAAGCAGUGGUAAAAACUCCGGUGGUAUGAGAUGGACUCGCGUCUGAUUAGCUAGUAGGUAAGGUAACGGCUUACCUAGGCGACGAUCAGUAGCCGGCCUGAGAGGGUGGACGGCCACACUGGAACUGAGAGACGGUCCAGACUCCUACGGGAGGCAGCAGUGGGGAAUAUUGCACAAUGGGGGGAACCCUGAUGCAGCAAUGCCGCGUGAAGGAUGAAGUAUUUCGGUAUGUAAACUUCUUUCAGUAGGGAAGAAACAAAUGACGGUACCUACAGAAGAAGCCCCGGCUAACUAUGUGCCAGCAGCCGCGGUAAUACAUAGGGGGCAAGCGUUAUCCGGAAUUACUGGGUGUAAAGGGUGCGUAGGCGGCAAGACAAGUCAGGUGUGAAAACCCGGGGCUCAACCCCGGGAAUGCACUUGAAACUGUCUAGCUAGAGUACAGGAGAGGUAAGCGGAAUUCCUAGUGUAGCGGUGAAAUGCGUAGAUAUUAGGAAGAACACCAGUGGCGAAGGCGGCUUACUGGACUGAAACUGACGCUGAGGCACGAAAGCGUGGGGAGCGAACAGGAUUAGAUACCCUGGUAGUCCACGCCGUAAACGAUGAUUACUAGGUGUUGGGGUCUAAAGACCUCGGUGCCGCAGUUAACGCAAUAAGUAAU
This 690-nucleotide ribosomal RNA is filed under the name uncultured Clostridium sp. Its description in RNAcentral is "bacterial SSU rRNA". It matches the Rfam family "Bacterial small subunit ribosomal RNA", at positions 160 to 868 of the family's 1533-position model. Lineage: Bacteria; Bacillati; Bacillota; Clostridia; Eubacteriales; Clostridiaceae. The record is from RNAcentral.